CUUUCUUAUCACCGCUUAUUGCAGGAGCAGAGCUGGCAUUGGACGAGUUCUGGGACAAACACACAUUCUCUUUAUCACCACUAUUUUUACUUUUCACUUGUUUGUUAUCCUCUUCUUCAACCAUCUCCAUCAUCCCAAAUUCAUUCAUUCGGAACUGAAAUCAACAGCAAAUUAUAUGAGAAUCGGCAAUGUCCCAACACCGUCUUGCCAAUCGAGUGCCUUGGCAGGAUCAAAGUUUGGAUCAUUUUGAUGAGAGGAGUUGACCGCCUCCUUAGAUUCAACAGCAUGACUUCCGGCCUUGCGUUCGUGGUGCAAGUCAGUCACAGUAUCGUCUUUGCUUGGCAUUGCCUUUAUGAUUUCUAUUUUUAUCUCGUCAUCCAAUGCGGAGUCUUGCCUGAGUCUCUUAUCUUCACUAGGUACCACUUUGAUUAAAGUUAUGUCAUCGUCAUUCUGCUGCUUUUUAUCUUUUUCCUUAUCUAGUUCAGAAUUUUUUGGUGGGGGCUUGACACUGGGAGCGGUGUCCUGAACUGACUUUGCUGGCUGUUUCUUCGCCCGUUUGUCGCUGUUUCCCCGUAAAAUAUUGCUUAUAGUUUUCUUGCGUUUUUCCGGUGGUGCCUCCUCAUCUUUACUAGGAAUUGGUGUUAUGACCGCUGAGUCAGCAUUCUCUGUUAUUUUAAUACCGUCUUUUGCACUUCCACUUCCUUUUACCGAUUUCAGCAGGCCCAUUUUAGUUAAGGGAUGUAAAGGUGGAGGUUGAAGUCCAGAAUUGCCGCCUUUUGACUCACGCAACACU
This 793-nucleotide unclassified non-coding RNA is filed under the name Athalia rosae (coleseed sawfly). Its description in RNAcentral is "misc RNA ENSAEAG00005002424.1". The record is from RNAcentral. Lineage: Eukaryota; Metazoa; Arthropoda; Insecta; Hymenoptera; Athaliidae.